Molecule: unclassified non-coding RNA, 233 nt
Filed under: uncultured fungus
Lineage: Eukaryota; Fungi
Description: sequence contains ITS1
Source: RNAcentral
GAGCCCGUACGGUGUGUCGUUGGCGAUUCGGACCGCCUCCUGCUCGGUCGCGAAGCGGGCGAUCCCCGCGACCGGGCCGAACGUCUCCUCGCAGCUCAUGGCCAUGUCCGCGGUCACGUCCACGAGAACGGAGGGCUCGAAGAACUGCCCCUCGAGCCGGUUCCCACCUAGGACUCGCUCGGCCCCGCGCUCGAGGGCGUCGGCGACGUGGCGCUCGACCUUCUCGACACCGG